This 253-nucleotide ribosomal RNA is filed under the name uncultured bacterium. RNAcentral describes it as "partial 16S ribosomal RNA". It matches the Rfam family "Bacterial small subunit ribosomal RNA", at positions 524 to 776 of the family's 1533-position model. The record is from RNAcentral.
UACGAAGGGAGCUAGCGUUGUUCGGAAUCACUGGGCGUAAAGCGCACGUAGGCGGAUGUGUCAGUCAGGGGUGAAAUCCCGGAGCUCAACUUCGGAACUGCCUUUGAUACAGCACGUCUUGAGUCCGAUAGAGGUGGGUGGAAUUCCUAGUGUAGAGGUGAAAUUCGUAGAUAUUAGGAAGAACACCGGUGGCGAAGGCGGCCCACUGGAUCGGUACUGACGCUGAGGCGCGAAAGCCAGGGGAGCAAACGGG